GUUAGGUUAGGUUAGGUUAGGUUAGGUUAGGUUAGGUUAGGUUAGGUUAGGUUAGGUCAGGGCAGGUCAGGUUAGGUUAGGUUAGGUUCAAAAAGAGAUAUUUCUUGUUCGUUACUGUGAAUGAAUCAGUGCACAGCAAAUCGGAGAAUAAACUUUCAUAAUGCGCACCUUCAUUCAUUCAAACACACGCUCCUCAAGACAUGGCGAAUUUGUAUGAGUGUGAAUUUGCCAGUUGAAUAUUGAAUACACAUAUUUUUCUCUAAGUACAUACUGAUGUGUGUGUGUGUGUGUGUGUGUGUGUGUGUGUGUGUGUGUGUGUGUGUGUGUGUGUGUGUGUGUGUGUGU
Scylla paramamosain (green mud crab) is the source of this 345-nucleotide long non-coding RNA. RefSeq lists it as uncharacterized. The transcript is spliced from 2 exons. The record is from RefSeq and is a predicted model, not a curated record. Lineage: Eukaryota; Metazoa; Arthropoda; Malacostraca; Decapoda; Portunidae.